This 691-nucleotide ribosomal RNA is filed under the name uncultured bacterium. Its description in RNAcentral is "bacterial SSU rRNA". It matches the Rfam family "Bacterial small subunit ribosomal RNA", at positions 104 to 810 of the family's 1533-position model. The record is from RNAcentral.
UGGUGAGUAACACGUAAGCAACCUGCCUAUCAGAGGGGAAUAACAGUGAGAAAUCAUUGCUAAUACCGCAUAUGCUAACAGUAUCGCAUGAUACAGUUAGGAAAGGAGCAAUCCGCUGAUAGAUGGGCUUGCGUCUGAUUAGCUAGUUGGUGGGGUAACGGCCUACCAAGGCGACGAUCAGUAGCCGGACUGAGAGGUUGAACGGCCACAUUGGGACUGAGAUACGGCCCAGACUCCUACGGGAGGCAGCAGUCGGGAAUAUUGCGCAAUGGAGGAAACUCUGACGCAGUGACGCCGCGUAUAGGAAGAAGGUUUUCGGAUUGUAAACUAUUGUCGUUAGGGAAGAUACAAGACAGUACCUAAGGAGGAAGCCCCGGCUAACUAUGUGCCAGCAGCCGCGGUAAUACAUAGGGGGCAAGCGUUAUCCGGAAUUAUUGGGUGUAAAGGGUGCGUAGACGGAGAAACAAGUUGGUUGUGAAAUCCCUCGGCUCAACUGAGGAACUGCAACCAAAACUAUUUCCCUUGAGUGUCGGAGAGGAAAGUGGAAUUCCUAGUGUAGCGGUGAAAUGCGUAGAUAUUAGGAGGAACACCAGUGGCGAAGGCGACUUUCUGGACGAUAACUGACGUUGAGGCACGAAAGUGUGGGGAGCAAACAGGAUUAGAUACCCUGGUAGUCCACACUGUAAGCGAU